UUUAGGGGUACCCUGAGACACCCGAAAGGUCGAAGGGAGAAAUUCAUUCGCGUUUCGCGGUAGGCGUUUGGCGGUCGCGUGACGAAAAACGCGCGUACGUUUCGGCGUACGUGUUCGUUUUUUCGCUCCAUCCGUCAUUCGAUCCGAUCGUGAACGCGUGCACUUUUCUCUCGGUAGGACGUCGCGAUCCGUUGGGUGUCGGUCUAAGGUUCGCGGUGGAGCCCGCAAAUAUACGUUUCACGACGCUAUUUGUGGACCCGCGUCUUUUCCCGACCGACUCGCUCGACGGUAUACGAUAGGUUUAAGGCCGCUCGAUACUUACACGAGCGUUCGACUCGUCGCAAGCGCGUCAGAUGUUUGUCGGCGAUCGGACCAGGUGCCGGUUCCGACCUCUGAUGACUGUUGGCGACGAAGUUCUCGAACGGACCUUAAUUUUCUUCACGGAAAAUUUUCAAAAACCGAUCUGCGACGCUAUAGCUUUGGGUACUUUCAGGACCCGUCUUGAAACACGGACCAAGGAGUCUAGCAUGCGCGCGAGUCAUUGGGAAUUUAAUAAACCUAAAGGCGUAAUGAAAGUAAAAGUUCGUCUCGCACGAACCUAGGGAAGAUGAACGGUUUUUUUGUGGACCGUUCCGCAUUCCCGGGGCGUCUCGUUCUCAUCGCGAGAAGAGGCGCACCAAGAGCGUACACGCUGGGACCCGAAAGAUGGUGAACUAUGCCUGGUCAGGACGAAGUCAGGGGAAACCCUGAUGGAGGUCCGUAGCGAUUCUGACGUGCAAAUCGAUCGUCGGAACUGGGUAUAGGGGCGAAAGACUAAUCGAACCAUC
This 827-nucleotide ribosomal RNA is filed under the name Polytus mellerborgi (small banana weevil). RNAcentral describes it as "partial large subunit ribosomal RNA". It matches the Rfam family "Eukaryotic large subunit ribosomal RNA", at positions 409 to 944 of the family's 3401-position model. The record is from RNAcentral. Lineage: Eukaryota; Metazoa; Arthropoda; Insecta; Coleoptera; Curculionidae.